AUUGAACGCUGGCGGCAGGCCUAACACAUGCAAGUCGAACGGUAACAGGAAGAAGCUUGCUUCUUUGCUGACGAGUGGCGGACGGGUGAGUAAUGUCUGGGAAACUGCCUGAUGGAGGGGGAUAACUCUGGAAACGGUAGCUAAUACCGCAUAACGUCGCAAGACCAAAGAGGGGGACCUUCGGGCCUCUUGCCAUCGGAUGUGCCCAGAUGGGAUUAGCUAGUAGGUGGGGUAACGGCUCACCUAGGCGACGAUCCCUAGCUGGUCUGAGAGGAUGACCAGCCACACUGGAACUGAGACACGGUCCAGACUCCUACGGGAGGCAGCAGUGGGGAAUAUUGCACAAUGGGCGCAAGCCUGAUGCAGCCAUGCCGCGUGUAUGAAGAAGGCCUUCGGGUUGUAAAGUACUUUCAGCGGGGAGGAAGGGAGUAAAGUUAAUACCUUGGCUCAUUGACGUUACCCGCAGAAGAAGCACCGGCUAACUCCGUG
This 489-nucleotide ribosomal RNA is filed under the name uncultured bacterium. RNAcentral describes it as "partial 16S ribosomal RNA". It matches the Rfam family "Bacterial small subunit ribosomal RNA", at positions 30 to 507 of the family's 1533-position model. The record is from RNAcentral.